AUAAAAUUGUUGUCAGAAACAAUCCUUGCUGUAAAGCUUUCACGAUAUGUGAUUUUAACAGGCCUGGCUAGCUGGGUAAGGCUGUAAGAAUUAUUCAGAGGGAAACUUUUGUGAGAAAAGAGGUCCGUAAACAUGUUGAGGAAGGAGAUUUUCUUUCUCUCGAUAAAGAAAAGAAAAAGAAAGGGUCUGUGGGGCAAAAAGGGAAAGAGAAAGAUUUAAAAUUUUUCAGGAAUCGCCGAGAAUGUUGGACGUGUGGGAAAACUGGUCAUUUCCGCUCGGAGUAUCCCGAGGAGAAGGGAAACGAGGCUUAGUUGAUCUCAAUGGGGUGAGGUCGACUCGCGCUUUAAAUUCCCCGAAAAAUUAUUUUAAAAUUUUUAAUGUUAAUAGAAUUAAGUGUAAUUCCUGUAAUUUUUAUUUUGAAGGAAGAGUUGGAGGAAAAAAAUGUUCUUUCAAGAUCGAUACGGGCUUAGAUGUUUCUAUUGUAAAUAAAAAGUUUAUCGGAAAGGAAAGGAAAAUUUGUAAAGAAAAAUAAUUUAAGAUACCCUACUGGGGAAAAGAUUCCAAUUUUAUUUAAAGUUUUGAUGAAAGUUGAUUUGGGGAAAUUCAGUGAAAUGGUUGAAAUGUUUGUAGCGGAAAUUGAUGAUGAUUGUCUUUUAGGGACGGAUUUCUUAAGGAAAAUUAAUUUAGAAAAUGUUUUCGAAUCAGCUUUUGAUUUUAAAAAAAUUGAAAAAGAAAAAGAAUUCAACUGCUCCCGUUUCUUUAAAUAAGGAAAGCCCAAUUUUCUUGAAAAAACUGCUAGAAAAAAAUUCUGAAAAUUUGUCUUCUAACCAGAAAAAAUUUUUUUAUGGUUUUUUCAAGAAGUUUAGUAAUGUAUUUUCCGAAAAAAUAGUGGCAGGAAAUUGUGAUGUCCUUGAACAUUGUAUUAAUGUUGAAAACUCUCUUUCCAUUAAACAGGUUCCUCGUCGAAUUCCUUUCCAUAUGAGAGAGGAAGUGAAUAAAACCUUAGAAGAGAUAAGAAUUCAGGGUGUAAUAGAGGAAUCAAACAGUCCUUAGGUCUCUCCUGCGGUUUUAGUCAGGAAAAAGGAUGGAUCAUUGAGAUUUUGUGUGGAUUAUCGCAAGUUAAAUUCUGUAACGGUUAAAGAUUCUUUUCCUUUUCCAAGAAUAGACGAUAUUCUCGAUCGUCUUGCAGGUAACUUUUAGUUUUCUACGCUAGAUUUAAGGAGCAGUUAUUGGCAAAUUAAAAUUCGCGCGCAAGAUAAGGAGAAAACUGCCUUUUCGAUCGAUAACGGACUUUGGCAAUUUACGGUAAUGCCCUUUGGUUUAUGUAACGCCCCCACGACCUUCGAAUGAAUGAUGGAGAAAGUUCUUAAGAGUUUAUUGAAUAAGUGUCGUCGCUCGGUAACUCUUUGCAGGAGCUCGAGGAGAGCAGGAAACGACGCAGCUCAGCAAGGGAACCGAAAUUGCAUCUCUUUCAUUGUCGGGACGACAAUGUUUGAGAAGAGAGAGGGUAGUGUUAUAAGCGCGAUGUUCUCGCGCUCAUUGUGAACGGCAGCUGUAGUCGGCUGUCGUGGAAAUCAAUAUAUCGAUCGCCUCGGUCAGCUGUGACAGACGAAGUUGGUUGCCAUGUGAAUGUUGUUAAAAGUCAUGUGGUUGUUGUUCUUGCAAAAAGACAAUUGUCUGAAAUGCCUACAGAUGCGGUCGAUGAGGCAAUUUUAAACUUGGUGGAAAAACGAACUUUGCCCGACACCAUGAAUUCAGAUGAUCUUUUCUAUUUGUCUAUAUCGCGGGAUUCACAGCAUCUAAAUGUAAAUGCAAAAUUACGUUUAAAAACACUUGUAUUACAAGCGCUUUCUCAAGUUGUAGCAGAGAAACAAAAUAAAACUUGAGCGGUUAAAUAUUUUAAAAA
Molecule: long non-coding RNA, 1906 nt
Organism: Monomorium pharaonis (pharaoh ant)
Lineage: Eukaryota; Metazoa; Arthropoda; Insecta; Hymenoptera; Formicidae
Exons: 2
Source: RefSeq, a predicted model, not a curated record